AGGAUGAACGCUGGCGGCGUGCUUAACACAUGCAAGUCGAACGGUGAAGUGAGGAGCUUGCUCCUUGCGGAUCAGUGGCGAACGGGUGAGUAACACGUGAGUAACCUGCCCUUGACUCUGGGAUAAGCACUGGAAACGGUGUCUAAUACCGGAUACGACCUCCGAAGGCAUCUUCUGGAAGUGGAAAGAAUUUCGGUCAAGGAUGGACUCGCGGCCUAUCAGCUAGUUGGUGAGGUAACGGCCCACCAAGGCGACGACGGGUAGCCGGCCUGAGAGGGUGACCGGCCACACUGGGACUGAGACACGGCCCAGACUCCUACGGGAGGCAGCAGUGGGGAAUAUUGCACAAUGGGCGCAAGCCUGAUGCAGCAACGCCGCGUGAGGGACGACGGCCUUCGGUUGUAACCUCUUUAGUAGGGAAGAAGCGAAGUGACGGUACCUGACAGAAAAGCACCGGCUAACUACGUGCCAGCAGCCGCGGU
Molecule: ribosomal RNA, 482 nt
Filed under: uncultured bacterium
Lineage: Bacteria
Description: SSU rRNA
Rfam family: Bacterial small subunit ribosomal RNA
Source: RNAcentral